UCGGAUUUCUGUGAAAGAGAGUACAUUUUGUAUUGAAGGCUAUGCUGAUGAGUCUGCAGUCAGACAGAGUGAGAGGGGGGAGAGAGAGCAGCAGCACUGCUGGGUCAGCUAAGCCUUGCCUGUCACCCCUCUGUCAGCUCAGCACUUUUGGACAUAUAUCUACCAUGUAGAGCUGCUGGUCCAGUGACAUGCCACUCAUUCUCCACCGAAGCUCGCUCUGCUAAAACCUCUCAGUUCCUACAUCCCCGCAAUCAUUUUCACAGCACAAAAUAUUUCAAAUGUGUCCAAAUUAAACAAGCUCUGUAUUAUUUUAGGCACAACGCCGCCUAAUCUAACACUAGAAAAAAACCCUUAAAUCCAUAUUAUGUUCACAUGUCACAGUUCAACUGGGUGUGACUGCUGUUUCCUGGUUUAUACAACACAUCAUUUUUUUCUGAACAUUUUUUCUUUCUUUGGCAUUUUGAUUUAUUGACAGAAGCAGGUUAGGCAGAGGAGAGAGAAGGGACAAGGCCAGACUUGAACCCAAACCACCGUGGAAAGGACUCAGGCUCAAUAUGUGGUAUGUGCUCUACAAGGAAGAGAAGAGAAGAGAAGAGAAGAGAAGAGAAGAGUAAAAGGGUUUCCGGUGUUUCAUUCCAUCGCCUGAAAAUGUAAAUUAAGCAUGUGACCAAAUGACUACACAGCUUGAUCUGGCAGGCUUACAUAAUGCUGGAACCGAGUUGGUUACCCGUGGCCAAGCAAUAGCAGCUCCGGCUUGGCCUACAUCCUGUUUCUGGGAGUCUUUAGUGAUGGCUGUGAAUGGCUCUGGUAGCAAACAGCGUGGAAGUGUCUCUGAUAGCAGAGAGAAUGGAAGGCAGUGAGCAGCCCACUCACCAGCCUGCCGCUGCCCCCGCACACAGACGCACGCACACAUGCACACAAAUACACUAUACAGGAGCGCUCGCGUAUUGGCAAACGUGAAUGGCUUCGAUGCGUUGUCAUUCUAUUCGGAUCAUCAGGUGGGAAAAAAUAGACAUGACAAAAUUAAAUUUCAAAAUGAAGUUGAUUUAAUCGAUUGUAUUAAAAGCGGAUAAGUCCAAUACACCCACAACGCUCACACACACACACACACACAGAUACACACUCACUCAUUUGACUCUUUCCAUCUUGCUCUCGCCCACACACUGACACACUCUCACACGUUCGUACAUGCCAGUAGAGUACUCCCAGAUGGACUACUACCAGAGCAGGAAUUAUGUAACAAAGGACUGUUUCAAACUACAAACUUUAAACUUAAACAGUGAGGCACAGUGAGAUUUUGUUCCAUUUAAUUGCAUGUUUGCCACCUUGAGGGUCUUCACCAUGACUUUUUGCAAUUGCAAAUUAUUACAACUUGAGCCUUUGCUAUGGCCCACCAUGACCAUGGAUAUGGUGAUGCACUAAACACAUUUCUUAUAUCGGGGAACAUCAAGCCUGACAACGUCAGAAACGAGUUCUUGAAACAGCGGCUUUUGAAAGGGUGGAAGCAAGCUAAAGAUUUGCUACAUAUGACUAUAUACCACUUUUAUGGAGGCAAAACUAUAGCCAACAUUUUUGUAAUAAUGCCAUACAGAACAACAUUUAUUUAUUUAUUAUUAUAGAUACCAAAUGCCUAAAGGCAAAAACUACAACAAAUAAGACCCAAGUUGUAAUCAUUUUCAUUUAACUUGUAACAACAGCAACAGUCAUGCUCAUAAAAAUCAUGUUGUAAGACCUCUGAUUAACUUUGGAAGUACAUAUUAUUACAGAUACAAAUAGCCUAACCCCCCUCACCCCCAAAAAAUAAGACACAAGUUGUAAUAAUAGCAAUAACAAUUAUGGUAAUAAAAACAACAAACACUCUUUUCACUUUUCACCACUUAUUUUUUAGCACUCAGGGGUACAAAGUUGCAUCCAUAAUACGGAGAAGUCGCCCUCAGCUGACUUCACUGAAACCCAUAACAUCCAUUAAAACCUCCGUAGCGAAUCUGUACUGGUCUCCGCUUUGAACGCAACACUCAUUUGUAAUGAUUUCAAACUUUCACCCUGUCAAGGAGGUAGUUACACAACUAGAGGUUGCGAGAGAACAAGAUUUGACUGUUAAUCGAGUGCAUCUCGCCUCAUCUCCCGCCAAGCAGCGAAAACCCCUGCCUCUCAUGGCCCCACAUGGCUGGCAGAAUGCUACCAUUUACAAGCCGGGGAGGAAAAAGGGGGUUGGAGGUGAGAGAGAGAGAGAGAGUGGAGGGGGGGGGGUAACUGGGAACAGAUGUAACUUCUGCCACGUACAUACACAUACACACACACACAAACACACUUUUAAUCUUGCUUUCCGUAGCUCAUGUCCUCCUCUGUAACCAUGUGUCCAAUAUUGCCUUUUUUCCCUCUUUAUUCCCCAGCUCCCUUACACUUCUCCCUGAACACCACCAUGUCUUACACCCUGACCCCUCGUCGUACCCAACCCCCCCAACUCUUAACGUGCAGGUUUUAACAACAGCCCCAGUGUGGCCCACUGGCGUCACCUUGCUCCUCCGCUGGACACAGGCCACUCUGUCUGGGCGCAAGGAGGGCCUACGGGGGGGGGUGGGGACGUGACUCUCCACUCACCCCGCACCACCACGACCUGGGAGACACCGGCAGAGAGAGCAACAUGUGUCCUGUAGACCCAGAACAAUGAGUUCCUUCACGGUGCUCGGUGACGGCAGCAGGUUCCCACCAGCCGGCCAGCCAGGUUUCUACUGUGGCUCUGACGACAAAUAGUCACAUCACAUCACAUAAUCACCAUGAGUAAACAGAACACUCACUGCCAAGAGGAAAGCUUUUUUAUGGGGUACAAUUCCGCAGCAUGGAGGACUGACUGGGUCACAGUGACCUGAUCUGAUGUUUCCUGUUCCUGUUUAAAACAUGUACUAAUGCCACAUAUUUGGUUUCAAA
Larimichthys crocea (large yellow croaker) is the source of this 2928-nucleotide long non-coding RNA. RefSeq lists it as uncharacterized. Lineage: Eukaryota; Metazoa; Chordata; Actinopteri; Sciaenidae. The record is from RefSeq and is a predicted model, not a curated record. The transcript is spliced from 4 exons.